UUGGCUGAAACCAAAGCAGAGGUAUAUUAUUGUUAAUAAUAAAAUUGAAUAAAUUAAUUCCAGCUAAG
This 68-nucleotide transfer RNA is filed under the name Alyscotermes sp. B TB-2017. RNAcentral describes it as "tRNA-Asn". Lineage: Eukaryota; Metazoa; Arthropoda; Insecta; Blattodea; Termitidae. The record is from RNAcentral.